UGAGCCCCUGUCCUUCCCGUCUCCUUCUCUGGUGUGUGCCAGUUUGGAAAAAAGAUUUGUGCGAAUCUCGGCUCCAUCCCAGGGGUCAGGGAGGCAUGCUGUCUGCUUGGGAGCGAGAAGGAGCGAACUGCCCCAUCUCCAUGGUGAGAAACCUUUGCCAUGGUCUCCUUGACUUCCUCACAAAGGCUGGUGAGCCGCCAGAGGCCUCCCACGUGGCGAAAGUCGCAGCACCUUUGGAGCAGGAAGGAUGGAGUCAGAAGUGGCCCCGACAGCCUCCUUCCUGGCUGAGGCUUGGGAAAGGGCGGGGGGUCUGGCUGCUCCCCACGUUCUCCAACUCCAAGGAACAACCCUGCCCGCCCUGCCUUCCUUCCACCUGCUCUCUGGGUCACCUGUAAGAAUUCCCCCUCAGCCCUUGCGGGGCAGACUGCUGCUGUAGACGGCUUGUGAAGGACGGCAGGUCCUGUGACGUUCACCUCUCCCCACACACCUAUUUCUACCUUUUCUUGAAGCUGCUUUGAAUUGGUUUGCAUUUUGGGAACCAAAGGACCUCUAGGAUAGAAGACAAGGCUGCUGAUGUGAUGUCAGUAUUUGAAUGUGGAGUGAACGGUUCCGGUUCCCGUGAACUGGUCAGAGCCAAUUCGAAGAGACCACCCAUGAGAUCACGGACUCCAGGACCCACAGGCUUCAGCAGUUGUG
Non-coding RNA from Odocoileus virginianus texanus, 696 nucleotides. The record is from RefSeq and is a predicted model, not a curated record. NCBI's taxonomy places the organism in Eukaryota, Metazoa, Chordata, Mammalia, Artiodactyla, Cervidae.